GAAGAGGAUGUUGGACAAGUUCUUGCUCUCAUAUAUGUUGCAAAGUGUCUUCCAUGCUUCCGCUGGUCCUUUGCAAUGGAUAAUGUGAGAAAAGUUGGCUUCAUCCAAAUUGGUGGCAAUCAUACCAAAAGCCUUCUUUUCACGUCUUUUGAAGUCCUUGUGGUCCUUAGGGCUUGCAUCUAUGCUUGGAAGAUCUUCACUCUCAUCUACAAUAUCCCAAAGGUCCAAAGAUGC
Molecule: long non-coding RNA, 234 nt
Filed under: Physcomitrium patens
Lineage: Eukaryota; Viridiplantae; Streptophyta; Bryopsida; Funariales; Funariaceae
Description: long non-coding RNA (PPAT_LNC003034)
Source: RNAcentral